UGGGGAAUAUUGCACAAUGGGCGCAAGCCUGAUGCAGCCAUGCCGCGUGUGUGAAGAAGGCCUUCGGGUUGUAAAGCACUUUCAGCGAGGAGGAAGGGUAGUGUGUUAAUAGCACAUUGCAUUGACGUUACUCGCAGAAGAAGCACCGGCUAACUCCGUGCCAGCAGCCGCGGUAAUACGGAGGGUGCAAGCGUUAAUCGGAAUUACUGGGCGUAAAGCGCACGCAGGCGGUUUGUUAAGUCAGAUGUGAAAUCCCCGCGCUUAACGUGGGAACUGCAUUUGAAACUGGCAAGCUAGAGUCUUGUAGAGGGGGGUAGAAUUCCAGGUGUAGCGGUGAGAUGCGUAGAGAUCUGGAGGAAUACCGGUGGCGAAGGCGGCCCCCUGGACAAAGACUGACGCUCAGGUGCGAAAGCGUGGGGAGCAAACA
RNAcentral lists this ribosomal RNA (427 nucleotides) under uncultured bacterium. RNAcentral describes it as "partial 16S ribosomal RNA". It matches the Rfam family "Bacterial small subunit ribosomal RNA", at positions 355 to 774 of the family's 1533-position model. The record is from RNAcentral.